CCAGCCAGGAUCCCCCAAAGUGUGCAGAGGGCUCAGCAGAGAACAGUAUGGGACCCCCUCACCAGGCCUGGAACACCUCCAGCCACAAAGAAGCCAAAGAUUAAACUCCUUACAGAAGUUAACUCUGCAGACUGAGAAGACGUGAACAGAGAGAGUCAAGGGGAGUGAUGACUAUUUCAGAGACAGGAAAGGACAGAAGAGAUGACCAAAGGCACCCCCAAGGGAUCAAGGCACAGAGGAAGAGGGACUUCAUCCACACAGGAGCCUGGCUCCUGCAGGCCAUGGCAUGGCUCUCGGGGCUGCCAGCAGGGCUCCCCAUAGCAUAGGUGUGCUCUGCGGUGGGCCCUUGGGCAGGGUCCUGAGGACAGUGCCAGGGCCAGGCUCCAGUGCAGCACAAUGUUGGGCAAAGGACUCCUAACACAGCCACGCUGGGGCUACUCAACCCGACAGUGGGGAGGGAAGGUGUGGGUGCUCACAAGGCAGGCAUCCAUAGAAGACGCUGCCCAGGUCCAAGUCAAAGAACUACACGUUCUCAUCCGAGCCCUCGGCACUGAAGACCUCCACCAUGGGCUGACCUCUCUCCUGACUGCCAGAUACAGCAAAGCCUGGCUUACCCAGAAAACAGCUGGGGUCUUCUGCUUAACUCAGUUCCAUCAAACUACCCAAGGGGUAACAGAUUCUGGAUGAAUUUUUUAAAGGGUCUCAAGUUAAAUGUUUCAUUCAUGAUUCACAAAAGGCACUUCAAAAUUCCACAGAGCCACAGGGUCACUGUUAGUAGGUCACCAAUCCUCCUGUACAGGACCGAUGGAGAAGCUCUAAGACAAUGGGCUAUGUGUUUCACCUGAUGGGGUCCCUGGCCAUUUGUAAAUAAAUCUCGGAUAUUAGCUAGUUUGUCAUUUAUCUUGCAGUCAAGCAUACACAAAACAGAAAGACACACAGUAUGUUUGCACUUUGAAUAAAUGAGAUUUUGCUGUA
RNAcentral lists this long non-coding RNA (975 nucleotides) under Homo sapiens (human). Its description in RNAcentral is "HSALNT0379118". Lineage: Eukaryota; Metazoa; Chordata; Mammalia; Primates; Hominidae. The record is from RNAcentral.